This 669-nucleotide ribosomal RNA is filed under the name Hyphopichia burtonii. RNAcentral's name for it is "LSU rRNA". It matches the Rfam family "Eukaryotic large subunit ribosomal RNA", at positions 1 to 696 of the family's 3401-position model. The record is from RNAcentral. Lineage: Eukaryota; Fungi; Ascomycota; Pichiomycetes; Serinales; Debaryomycetaceae.
GUAUGUCUAAUUAGUAGUGACACCACACUAAACACAUCUCCUCAAAUCAGGUAGGACUACCCGCUGAACUUAAGCAUAUCAAUAAGCGGAGGAAAAGAAACCAACAGGGAUUGCCUCAGUAACGGCGAGUGAAGCGGCAAAAGCUCAAAUUUGGAAUCUCAGUCUUUCAGGCUGCGAGUUGUAAUUUGAAGACGUAUUUUGAAGUAAGCACAUGUCGAAGUUCCUUGGAACAGGACGUCACAGAGGGUGAGAAUCCCGUGCGAUGUGUUCACUGCUUCAUGUAAAAUGCAGUCGAAGAGUCGAGUUGUUUGGGAAUGCAGCUCUAAGUGGGUGGUAAAUUCCAUCUAAAGCUAAAUAUUGGCGAGAGACCGAUAGCGAACAAGUACAGUGAUGGAAAGAUGAAAAGAACUUUGAAAAGAGAGUGAAAAAGUACGUGAAAUUGUUGAAAGGGAAGGGCUUGAGAUCAGACUCGGGCAACCGGGCCAGCAUGGGGUGGGGGAGUAGGAUAACCCUGCAGGAAAGUGGCUUCGCUUCGGUGGAGUGUUAUAGCCUGUAGCUAUACUGCUACCCUCGCCCGAGGACUGCGGAAACAAGGAUGCUGGCAUAAUGAUCUUAAGCCGCCCGUCUUGAAACACGGACCAAGGAGUCUAACGUCUAUGCGAGUGUUUG